Molecule: ribosomal RNA, 408 nt
Filed under: uncultured marine bacterium
Lineage: Bacteria
Description: bacterial SSU rRNA
Rfam family: Bacterial small subunit ribosomal RNA
Source: RNAcentral
CAGCAGCCGCGGUAAUACGGAGGGUCCGAGCGUUAAUCGGAAUUACUGGGCGUAAAGCGUGCGCAGGCGGUUUGUUAAGCCAGAUGUGAAAUCCCCGGGCUCAACCUGGGAAUUGCAUUUGGAACUGGCGAACUAGAGUCUUGUAGAGGGGGGUAGAAUUCCAGGUGUAGCGGUGAAAUGCGUAGAGAUCUGGAGGAAUACCGGUGGCGAAGGCGGCCCCCUGGACAAAGACUGACGCUCAUGCACGAAAGCGUGGGGAGCAAACAGGAUUAGAUACCCUGGUAGUCCACGCCGUAAACGAUGUCUACUCGGAGUUUGGUGCCUUGAGCACUGGGCUCUCAAGCUAACGCAUUAAGUAGACCGCCUGGGGAGUACGGCCGCAAGGUUAAAACUCAAAGGAAUUGACGG